UUCUGCAACUCACCACUUAACGGGUCUCAGCCUGGCCGAUAAGUUAAUUUGGCUUAACAUAGGGCUGAGACUUGAGGCCCUCCCGAGGCUUCCACUCUUACAAAGUGCAACGAGGAGCGAUCGUGCUAUAGAGUAUCGAGGACGACGGCGCCGCCGCUAAGACGGACUCGAGGGCGCGACUUGCAUUCCCGGACCUAUUCGAGCGCUAGAUCCUCAUUGGAAAGGAGACUAAGCAUGAGGAACGAUUAAAUAAACCAGGUUUUCGUUAAUAA
Long non-coding RNA from Ceratina calcarata, 272 nucleotides. RefSeq lists it as uncharacterized. The record is from RefSeq and is a predicted model, not a curated record. Lineage: Eukaryota; Metazoa; Arthropoda; Insecta; Hymenoptera; Apidae. The transcript is spliced from 2 exons.